This 305-nucleotide ribosomal RNA is filed under the name uncultured bacterium. RNAcentral's name for it is "bacterial SSU rRNA". It matches the Rfam family "Bacterial small subunit ribosomal RNA", at positions 333 to 637 of the family's 1533-position model. The record is from RNAcentral.
CGUAUCCUACGGGGGGCAGCAGUGAGGAAUAUUGGUCAAUGGGCGAGAGCCUGAACCAGCCAAGUCGCGUGAGGGAAGACGGUGCUAUGGAUUGUAAACCUCUUUUGUCGGGGAGCAAAAGCCGGACGUGUCCGGCUGUGAGAGUACCCGAAGAAAAAGCAUCGGCUAACUCCGUGCCAGCAGCCGCGGUAAUACGGAGGAUGCGAGCGUUAUCCGGAUUUAUUGGGUUUAAAGGGUGCGCAGGCGGACCAUCAAGUCAGCGGUAAAAUCGUGGGGCCCAACCCCAUCCCGCCGUUGAAACUGGG